GGCCCAGAUCGUUUACCGUGAAAAAAUUAGAGUGUUCAAAGCAGGCAGACCAUUUCUUCUGCCACCGAAUACAUUAGCAUGGGAUAAUGGAAUAGGACCCUGUCCUCCUAUUUUGCGUGUUGGUUUUCGAGGACCGGGUAAUGAUUAAUAGGGAUAGUUGGGGGCAUUAAUAUUUAAUUGUCAGAGGUGAAAUUCUUGGAUUUAUGAAAGAUUGACUUCUGCGAAAGCAUCUGCCAAGGAUGUUUUCAUUAAUCAAGAACGAAAGUUAGGGGAUCGAAGACGAUCAGAUACCGUCGUAGUCUUAACCAUAAACGAUGCCGACCAGCGAUUAGGAGACGUUGAAUACAAAACACCACCGUCGGGUCGGCCGUCCUUGGCCGUCGUGCGCGGCGACGCGCGCGGCGGCGAGGGCGGUGUCUGCCCGACGGCCCGGUGAAUGACUCCCCUAGCAGCUUGUGAGAA
Molecule: ribosomal RNA, 462 nt
Filed under: Acanthamoeba jacobsi
Lineage: Eukaryota; Discosea; Longamoebia; Acanthamoebidae
Also listed under: 1 other name
Description: SSU rRNA
Rfam family: Eukaryotic small subunit ribosomal RNA
Source: RNAcentral